This 460-nucleotide ribosomal RNA is filed under the name uncultured bacterium. RNAcentral describes it as "partial 16S ribosomal RNA". It matches the Rfam family "Bacterial small subunit ribosomal RNA", at positions 338 to 795 of the family's 1533-position model. The record is from RNAcentral.
CCUACGGGGGACAGCAGUGAGGAAUAUUGGUCAAUGGACGAGAGUCUGAACCAGCCAAGUAGCGUGAAGGAUGACUGCCCUAUGGGUUGUAAACUUCUUUUAUAUGGGAAUAAAAUGUUCCACGUGUGGGAUUUUGUAUGUACCAUAUGAAUAAGGAUCGGCUAACUCCGUGCCAGCAGCCGCGGUAAUACGGAGGAUCCGAGCGUUAUCCGGAUUUAUUGGGUUUAAAGGGAGCGUAGGUGGAUUGUUAAGUCAGUGGUGAAAGUUUGCGGCUCAACCGUAAAAUUGCAGUUGAAACUGGCAGUCUUGAGUUCAGUAGAGGUGGGCGGAAUUCGUGGUGUAGCGGUGAAAUGCUUAGAUAUCACGAAGAACUCCGAUUGCGAAGGCAGUUCACUGGACUGCAACUGACACUGAGGCUCGAAAGUGUGGGUAUCAAACAGGAUUAGAUACCCUUGUAGUC